CCGUCUCUCGAGGGUCGUGGAGCUGCACUGUCUGCUGUCCAAUGCCUGAAAAAAGCUGCUCCGUACAAACGUCUACAGGGGUUCAUGGUGGGAAGGGGGGUCUAGGUCCCUCACGCCACGAGGGCCGGGUCUGGGGGUUUAGUUUCUGCUUUUCUGCCGACUCGGUCACAGCCAUGAGUCUGCAGCUGCAGGAGGUGCUGACGCCUGAGCUCACUGUGCCAUCCCGCCUGGAGGACCACGCAGUCUCACGAGGAGUCUCACGGCAGCUUCUCAGAGACGCUGGUCGGAGGACACUUGACUACACAAGAGGCACUCCUGUUGGCUUUCCCUGGGGCCCUGGACCAAGUCCUCUCCCAUCGUUUCCGAGGGCCUCCAUCACUCGGGCCACUCUGGGUCCCAACAGGGGGUGAGGCCACCAUCACGGUGUCCCCAAGCCCACGUUUCACCCACCCUGCCUCUGGGGAAGGGACGCAAAGAGACAGGAUCUAAGUCAGGAAACACACAUCCCCAUGACAGAGGGAACCAGUUUCCUCCCAGAAUCGCCACCUUGGCAGCACACUGUGCAAGCCUGAGACCAGCUGGGCCCAGGGCCGGCUGGAAGAUGACCGGGACCCAGAAAGAGGGUGGCCCUCCCUGCGAUGCCGAGUCCCUGGGGCCGUGGGACCCUUGUGUGUUCGCUCAGGCCCAGAGCAGAGCCUGGCUGUGUCCACAGGCUGCAGGCGCCAUCCUAGGCCUCCCAGGGGGAAUCUUGGAUCUCUGGGCAUUUCAUGGAAACCAGCUUGGUCAAGAUAAGUGAUUUUUCAAACUACUGCUACUGAUAAUUUCCACCAUUUUAUUGGGUGGCUGCUACUUGUGGACCACCUGCUAAUUGUUUUACAUGCGUGAGGCAGGCACUCUCCUCGUCUGCUUUCUCCAGGUGAGGAAAUUGAGGAUCAGAGAGGUAAAUUAACCUGGCCAGGAUCACACAGCUGGUGAGUGGCAGCAGAGAAGGGAUUUGUACUCUUAGCCAUGACACUAGGUUGCCUUCUGUGUUCACUGUUUAAGCUUGAAAAGGUUUUUAGGUCUAAACGUGUAGUUGGGGGAAAGGAAAAACAAGAGAAUUAGCAUUAAAUUAACACCUUUAGUAAUACUAACAGCAGCACAUCUCAUUGACUCCUUGAGGCUCUUCUCUUCUCCUUCGCAUUUUAUCAUCUCUGAAACGUGGAUUCAUCUUGCAGUGCUCGUGUGUCUAGUUCAUGUCGGCCUGAGGGUCUGCUGGUUCACCCAGGAAUUUGGGCUGCUUUCCAGGCUCUGUGAGCUCAAGAAACAGCAGAUCACGAAGUCCAGGCCCUGACCUGGGGGCUGCUCGGGCCUUUUGGAAAGCAGGCCCCGAAAGACGACAUUCUCCUCUGGCCGUGGCAGACUUCCGUGCAUGGAAGUGUUUCCCGGAGCGCAAGGGACAAAGUCCCUGUGUCGGAGGGAGCAGGUCACCGCGCGACUCACUGGGACUCUCAGGCGCUGGGGAGGGGCUGCCGGCCGGCCCUGCUGGGCUCUGGCAGCUCACUGCUGGGUCCAAGCCGCUGCUUUGCCACUUACUAGCUGUGCGACUCGGGCAAGUGACUUCCGCUCCCGUGCCUCGGUUUCCUCCUCGGUAAGGUAACUCCUGUGGAAUAUCGCCUGGCACGCGGUGCGUGCUCCGUAAACCCAGUUGUCCUGAGGAUUCAUCGGGAGGACGUUCCCAGGAGAGCUCUUACCAGCCCAGGUGAGGAGCUCUUUUAAUGUACGAGUUCUAGCCUGUGUUUCUACAAGUUCGUUUCUAGAUCACGGACACGAGGGACCCAACUUUCCAGUUUGGGUCCCACUUCUACGAAACAAUGGCAUAAAACAGGAAGAAAAUGCAACCGACUAAGGAAACACCCUGGGCCCCGUGGACGCUGUGAGGGCUCUUGGACAAUCUGUGCUGUCCACGCCAGGGUUAAAUACACAGACUCGGGUCGUCAGUCGUUGGCUUUGAGUGCUGGUCUCUGUCCGGCAGUGAGCUCUCAGACAAGCUCCUCGGUGACCCAGAGUGUGAGAGGAGGAAGACCACUGACCUCGCCUCGGUGGGUCGUUGUGCGGCCAGUCCGUGGGCACGUGCCGGCACACAGUGAGCCCCGGAGCACUGGCCCUCAGGAUCGCUGUCAUUAUUAUUUGUCGCUAUUCCUCUUAAUGACUUAAUGAGACAGCGCGUGCACCACAGUGCCGGCACAGAGUGCUUCGUAAACGGUCGUCGGCAACAUCAUGACGAUUCUUAUUCUCUGCAGUGGGUGAGGUUGAGGCCACACGCUACCAUGUGGAUUUACAGAGCACAGGUGGCUGCAGAAGCUGGGGCUGGCCUGGUGGCGUAGCACUAAGUUCAGUUCACGCACUCUGCUUCGUAGGCCUGGGGUUCGCAGGUUCAGAUCCUGGGCGCAGACCUAGCAGCGCUUAUCAAGCCAUGCUGUGGCAGGAAUCCUGCAAAUAAAAUAGAGGAGGAUGGGCAUGGAUGUUUUCUUGGGGCCAAUCUUCCUCAAAAAAAAAAAAAAAGAAAAGAAAAGAAAAAAAAGGAGUGGCUGCAGAAGCUCAAAUAGCACGUCAUCCCACAGGAAAUGGAAAGUUCCACAAGGAAGGGCCUGGAAUUGGAACAGGCAUCUUGAGUUCACUCCCAGCCCCAUCAGGAGCGGGAUGGGUGCCCGCCUGGGAUUAGGAGCCCCCCCCACCUGGAGGGCCUCGGGCUUGUUCAUCGGGCAGGGCAGCCUGAGGAGGGUUAUCGCCCUGGAAGGAUGCCUGGCAUCCGAGCUGAGCCUGGGCGAGCUGCCCUGUGCCGAGGAUCCCUUGCCUGCCCCAGACAAAGCCCAGCUCCUAGCUCAGCCCACCUGGGGGCCUCCUCCCAUCUGGACCCCUGAUGCCUUGUCUCGCCCAGCUCAGACCCCCAAACUCGCUUGUCCUCUUCCUUCCCUGCCUCUCUAUGCAGUGACCUGCCACUCCCUCCUCUGUGCCUCCCUCAUGGUGCUACCUAGGCUAGGAGGGGUUUGCCUACAGCCUGGUCACCCUCCCUGGGCUGUGGGCUUCCAGAGGCUGGGGCUGCUGAGGCAAGGUCUCCCCACGGUGAGAGGGGGGCUCUGGAGCCAGGCCGGCAUCCAGGCGCAGCUGCUUCUCAACCGGUUCCCCUCAGCAAGUUCUGCUCAGAUCCUCAUUUUCCCUCUCUGUAGAAUGGAGAGAAUAUGCCCCGCUACCUCACCAGGUUGUGAUGAGAAUUAAGGAAUUUGAUACGUAUCAAGAGCUUAGAAUAUUGCUUGGCACAUAGUAACUGCUCAGUAAAUGCUGGCCGUUAUUGUUAUCGGCUGCAUUGUUAUUCCCAUCGGUACCCUCCAGAGUCCAGCAGGGGCUGGCACCGGGCAGGUGUGUGAUGCAAAUUAGUGACUUUGUGCCUUUCCAUCAGGAACCUCCAGAUGUUCACGACGAAAGGGUCUCUGGGUGGGGUUUGUGGGUGUUAGAACCAGGCUUCCGCGAUGUGCCGACUGUAUCUUGUCGGGGACCGCUGCUUCCCCAGGGUUCCCAAGGGCAUUUAGCUUUUCCUUCUCCCUUCCUCCGUCGCCCUCUUCUUUCUUCCCUGUCUCCCUCCCUUUCCUCCUCUUCUCCCCGCUCCUUUCUUUCCCUUACGAGGAGCAGAGCAGUGCUAGGAUGAUCACACGCAUCCUUGCGGGUAUUUCUGCUUCUAUUGUUGGGCUCGGUUUCUAGCACGAGACCUGAUCCUUUAAUGAAACCAACUAGCUGCUCUUAAGAAGCCCCAAGCUCUGCUGGCGCUCUGAGGAUGCUCGCCUAUCCGCCAUCAAAUGCUUUCUGUCCUAUUUUCCACGGGACACGUGGGUCCCAAACCCGCCCCGUGAACCCAUCUCUUACUGACUGGGGAACAUUUCUUUCAAGAAUACCAGUGACUUUGCCCCAGGGCCCUGUCCUCACCAGACAAACAAGGCGUCUGCUUAUGCCUUGGGCCGAGUGAGUCCUACGACUCAUGCAGAAUCCAAAGGCCCUGCCCCAGGAGGGGCACUGUGGGCGGUGAUGUCACGAGCAGCCAGAUGUCAGGAGCCUGGAUGCCUCAGAUGGCAAGCUUUGGAUUUUAAUUCUCCUUUGUUCCUAACAACUGGAAACCUUCAAAAGCAUUCAAUGAGGACUCAACCGGAAGACUUGAUAUUCACAAACAGGCUUUGAAAGCAAGCCCAGACCCAGUCACGACUUCCCUCGUGUGGAACGUGCAUGGAGACGGGCGCGUGGCGGUCGGGAUGAAGCAGAGAAGCUCUGGGAGGAGCCCAGCCUUCACCUUGGCGUUGACGUCUGUUCCCGGAAUCUCCAGGCUGACCCGCCACCGGGACCCCUGCGAGGAAGCCCGGAACACAGCUCUGCAGCCAGUUGGUGCCAGGUGUGAGUGUGACUUUACCACCUACCCAGCAGAGUGACCUUGAACAGGCCUCUUAACCUCUCUGAGCCUCAGUUUCCCCCUCUGGAACAUGGAACAGUAAUAGUACUUUCCUCCUACAGUGUUUCCGAGAGCUGGCACACGGUAAAUAACACACAAAUCAUGAAUUAUUAUUAUUUGUAUCGUCAUUCCAACUUCAAGACCAACCUGGCUAUUUAAAGCACAUUUUCAGCAGGAAACCGAGUUCAAUCAUUACAGUCUUCCUUCUAAUCUGGCUGUAAACAAUUACUCUUUCCAAUUUCCUUGGCCUAGGCAGAGUUUCCUCUGAGUCAGUCUGUAAACCACCUGCAUCCUAAUUAAUCCUCAUUAUCCAAUCACUCAGAGAAGGUUGACUUAGGGACAGCCAUUUGCCCCCUGCCCCACAAAUAUCUGUUCUCUCAUCAACACAAUGCUAGCUGGUUACAUGGCCGCCCAGACCAAGACUACAUUUCCCAGACUACCUUGCAGCUGGGCGUGGUCACAGUGUUAGCCAAUGGGAAUGAGAAGAAGAAGUGAUAUGCAGAAGUUCUCAGUUAUGUCCUCAAAGGUCUGGGAAUGCCCUCCGUUCCUUUUCUCCCCUCACGGUGAAAGGGACAUGGUGGCCAGUCGUUUGGGGCCAUGUGGACAACGGCUACCCCCUAGACGAGGCUGAGAGAUAGGAUGGAAGGAGUCUUGGUGCCCAGCACCAGGAAACUGCCUUAUUAGCUGCGGAUGGUUACGGGGCAGGGAGAGUGACAUCUCUUUUGUUUAAGCUGCUUUGAUGUCCGGCACGUCUAUCUUAACUAACGUAGUGGUUGCAUAGGUUUUGUCCUGUCUGAUGAUGUACAUGGAUGAGCUGGAAUUUGCAGUGCUGGUUAACGUCCAUGCUAAGUCACAGAGUUGACAUAAAGCCUCGUAUUAAACAAAACCACAUCAAACCGAGUGUUCCUUGAUUAGUGACUUAUAGAGCUUCCUUUUCUCAUCGAUAAACUUAUUUUCAAGAAUACAUGUUUGUGAAAUGGUUGCAUUCAUUUCUUAUUUUUAAUUUUGUCAUUUUAAUGUUGUCUUUUAAUGUACAGCAACUAUUUCCUUGUCAUGGUAUUUACUUUUGUGAUUGUCUUUUAAAAAAUUAAGAUAUAGUUUAUAUAUAGAAAAUUCACCCUUUUAAGGUGUACAGUGCAGUAGUUUUUAGUAUAUUCACAAAGUUGUGCAACCGUCACCACUGUCUAAUUCCAAAACUUCUUCAUCACCCUCAAGAGAAACUCCAUACCCAUUAGCCGUCACUCCCCUUUUCCCCUUUUCCCAGCCCCUGGCAAUGCCUUUUCUACUUCCUGUCUGUGGAUUUGCUCAUUCUGGACGUUUCAUAUAAAUGAAUAAUAUCAUAUGUGGCCCUUUGUGUUUGAUUUCUUUUGCUUAGCAUGUUUUCAAGGUUCACCCAUGUUGUAGCAUGUACCAAUACUUUAUUCCUUUAUAUGGCCUAAUAAUAUCCCAUUGUAUGAAUCUAUAUCACAUUUUUUUAUCCAUUCACCUGUUGAUGGACAUUUGGGUUGUUUCCACUUUUUGCUAUUAUGAACGAUGCUGCUAUGAACAUUCCUGUACAAGUUUUGUGUGAGGAUAUAUUUUCAGGUCUCUUGGAUACGUAGCUAGGAGUGGAAUUGCUGGGUCAUGUGGUAACUCUGUGUUUAACUCUCUGAGGCGCUGCCAAACUGUUUUCCAAGUGGCCACACGCUCUUACAUUCCUGCCAAUAAUGUGUCAAGGGUCCAAUUCCUCCACAACUUCACCAACAUUUGUUAUCACUCCUCUUUUUGAUAGUCAUCCUAGUGGGUAGGAAGUAGUAUCUCGUUGUUUUGAUUUGUGUUUCUCUAAUGACUAAUAAAGUUGACUUUUCAUAUGUGUUUUGGCUAUUUGUGUGUCUUCCUUGAAGAUAUGUCUAUUCAGUUUCUUUACCCAUUAAAUUGGGUGUCUUCAUUGUUGAGUCGUAAGGAGUUCUUUUUGUGUUCUGGAUACAAGAUCCUUCUCAGAUAUAUGACUUGUGUAGGGUCUCGCUUGCCCAGUAAUAGCCUAUGUGUCCUAUAGCAACCAUGGGUCCUCCUGGCCUCCUUCGAGGUGUGACACCAACCAUCUGGUGUUUUAAUAAUCCAGAGCUGCAUCUGCUUAUCUCAAAGAGCAUCAUGUCUUGAAGGAACACAGAGCCCUUCCAUGUGAGCUGCUGGUCCUUGGAAUUCUGGUCCUUCAAGGACAGUUGGUUUUGGUUAAGAAUAACUUGGGAAGAAACGAGAGACAAAAAAGACUAAGACAGCUGAUCCAAGGCCUCCACUGGCCAAUGGAAAUGCUCCUGGGAGAGGAAGAAGGAGACAGGCAAGAAAUGUUGGCAAGUCCCAAUCAAACCCAUUGGUGGCUGUCAAAACCACGAAUCGGAUGAUGAGGGUCUUUCAGCUUCCCAAGAAUGGCUGUAGCCACCCAACAUUAGCCGCUCCGUGCUUCUGGGUGGUACCAUGGACAGCAGCCAGACCUAGUUGGGUGAGGGUGCUCAUGACCUGGAAGGCCAAGGGUUCUUGUCUUCGUUCCAUGGUGUCUGGGCGCCAGCUCCGUGGCCUAGUGGUUAAGCUCAGCAUGCUCCAUCUGGGCAGCCCAGUUUCAUGGUUUCAGUUCCUAGGUAUGGACCUACACCACUCAUCAGCCAUGUUGUGGUGGUGACCCACAUAUAAAAUAGAAGAUUGGCACAGAUGUUAGCUCAGGGCUAAUCUUGCUCAAGCAAAAAAAGAGGAAGAAUGGCACAGAUGUUAGCUCGGGGAUAAUCUUCCUCAGCAAAAAAAAAAAAAAAACCUACAAAAAAUCCAUGGUGUCUGGGUUUGUGCUAGGUUCUUUUUGGAACACAGGGAUGAGCAAGGAGUUAUCUCCUACUGGGAGAUCUGACCCUUUUGCACAGAGCUACAUAGAAGGAAAGGAGGCAUGAGAGGAGUGAGCUGGACAUAAGGUGGGAAAAAUGGGUCCAAAUUCCGCCACUAGCCCAAGGUCACAGGGCUAGUGACAGAGCAUAACCUCUCUUGGAGUCUCCCUUUUCUCUUCCACAAAGUGGGCUUGAUCCUCCACUGAUCCUGUGGGUGACAAGAGUCAGUGCUGGACAGAUGAUCAGUGAUAGGCAGGUGUGGGGCAGCGGCCGAGGCAGCCUGUCAAGUGCUGUGUGCCUGCUUCCUAGCACAGUGCCUGCCAUAUAGCCAGAACUUCAGCAGAUGUUCGAGGAAGGAAGAAAGGAGGGAGGAAGGAGGACCGGUUGCUGAUCCUUCUCCUGUUUGCAGCCUAUAGCACAGGGCUUGGCACCCAGGGGCCCACUGCCUCAUCACUCCUUCCUAAGCAUCGCUUCCUUCCUGUGUCUCUCUUAUUGUGUGCAAAGCCCAGGAGGCAGCCUUACCUUACCAAUCGACUCAUCUAGAACUCAAGAGGAGCCUGGCGUGCCAGGAGCCUUGGGAACGCUCCUUUGCCUUCAUCCCUCAGCCUGGGAGGCCGACUUGAAGAGUCUGGGGAUGUCCCGAGCCCAUCGGAGACUGUGUCUCAGGAGGAUGAAACGGUGGAGCCGGGAUCUGAAUUCCUGCUACUCAUCACAUAGAUUUCAACAGCUUUCCUCGUCUUGCUGGAGAAACAAACUCAAGGAAUCUUAAAUGACUGCACUGGGAUCUCCAUUAUUGCCGACUGUGACCCCAGGUGUUAAUGUACUUCGUGCGUUAGCCACGCCCGGUACCUGGAGUGGACCUGGGAAGCCCGUGGAGGCCCUUUGUCCCUGUUCUCUUUGCCAAGAGCUCCCUGGAGCUGGUGCCCCGGCUCCUCAUCUGAUGUCGGGGAGACUCCCCUGACCGCUCGGCUCAUGGUGGCCCUUGUCCGCCUGGUCGCCCUCCUGCACAUCAACCUGCUUUGUUCCCUGUAUGGCAGUCGUGUUAUCUGAAGUCACCUUAUCCAUUUAUGAGUUUAGGUGUUUGUGUCUUCCACCCUCAAGUUCCAUGAGAACAGGGACUGUGUUGUCUUCCCCUCUGUGUCUUUGGGGCCUAGAAGCAUCCCUGGCACACAGUAGGUGCUUAUCAAAUGGACUGGACGGAUGCCUGACUUGGUCCGUGAUAAGCAGCCUAGAUAAGCUGCGGUGGGUGGCAGAUGGGGAGGGGAUGUUGAGUCUGGAGGGGGAAGGAGCGGUUUGUGCUGGGUGUCUGCCCCUCAGAGCCACCCCCCAGCCCUCCCUCUCCCCGGGAGGAGGCUGCCCGUGGGGACCAUGUCAGCGAGUCCUCUGGAACCCCGGCUUCGCCGGGGUCCGGCCAGAGUUCAAACAUCCAUGACAGGUUUAGUUGUCCUCAGCAGGAGGAACACAGAAGAGUUCAUCCACGGAAGAUAUUUUUAUUAUUAUUAUUAAAUCUCUGUUCUUCCUCCCUUGCUGAGCGGAGGUGAGAAUGAGGCGCGCAGGUGCCCUGCACAUGGGAGGCCCCCUGCAGGCAGGGACCUCUUACCAACAGCACCGUG
Molecule: long non-coding RNA, 8936 nt
Filed under: Equus caballus (horse)
Lineage: Eukaryota; Metazoa; Chordata; Mammalia; Perissodactyla; Equidae
Description: lncRNA (ENSECAG00000047273.1)
Source: RNAcentral